GUUUAACUAACAUGAUCAAGAUCUCCUAACCAGUUAAGUGGUGAAGUUGGAAUUUUUACCCAAGUCUGUUUGCUAAAUGUAUGCUCUUCAUCAUUACAUCUACAUAGGACCAGCUACAUAACUUGUAGUGCCCAGUGCAAAAUGAAAAUGCACCCUAGGCUGUGAUCCUGGAACUGAACAUCUGAUGAGUCAAUACAGGGCACGGAGUAGGACUUUGAAGUCCUCCAUUGGAUCUUCUCGGAAGAUGAGGGAAAUGAGAGAGUGUGGAGAGAGAUUUUGUAAGUCCGGUCUGGAAGUGGUCAUUGUUCAGAAUCCAGCCACGUGGGUACAUGGAACUGUAAGGCUAUUUCAACAUGGGAAACUGAAAUCGGGCAUAUCCCUGCGGAAGAAGCUGUCUCUUAGCGAAGAAUAAAACUGUGGACUGACCCCCACCCAUUUGCGAAGAAAGUACUGGGUCUUCAGCUUUCAUUGUUCAGCCGGUGGUCUUUGUGGACAACACCAGGGGCCCCUCCUGCUGAAGACUGUCUGGACUUCCUGAUUUUCACUCCUGUAUAAACCCCCUCCCCCAUUACUACCUUUGUCUCCUUGGGGAAAAAAAAUGUUUUUCACUUAAGCAAAAUAAUAACUACCCAGUAUUUGUUUCUGGAGUGAAAUUGUAAACUUCAUUGUACAUUCUUCCUGGCUUUGAUGCUUAUCGUGAAGAGUUCAGUGAAAAUAAAUUGUUUUUAUGAAAGCAGAGAAACCAUUUGAUAAACACGCUGUCUCUGAAAAUCGUUCCUGCAAAAGAGGUCAUUCUUUCACUUUAAAAGAAAUAGAAUAUAUUUCAGAAAACAGGCAGGACAACAUACAAAUUUUUUUUUAAGGCAGAGUGUAAAUACAGUGAAAAUUGCACACCUCCUGAUUGUGUGGAGUGUUUUGG
This 919-nucleotide long non-coding RNA is filed under the name Homo sapiens (human). RNAcentral's name for it is "HSALNT0231159". Lineage: Eukaryota; Metazoa; Chordata; Mammalia; Primates; Hominidae. The record is from RNAcentral.